GUGCCAGCCGCCGCGGUAAUACGUAGGAGGCAAGCGUUGUCCGGAAUUACUGGGCGUAAAGGGUGCGUAGGCGGGACGGUAAGUCGGGCGUGAAAUCCCGCGGCUCAACCGCGGAACUGCGCUCGAUACUGCCGACCUUGAGUACGGGAUAGGAGAGCGGAACUCACGGUGUAGCGGUAAAAUGCGUAGAUAUCGUGAGGAACACCGGUGGCGAAGGCGGCUCUCUGGCCCGAUACUGACGCUGAAACACGAAAGCCAGGGUAGCGAACGGGAUUAGAUACCCCGGUAGUCCUGGCCGUAAACGAUGGGCACUAGGUGUGGGAAGCAUCGACCCUUUCCGUGCCGAAGCUAACGCAUUAAGUGCCCCGCCUGGGGAGUACGAUCGCAAGGUUGAAACUUAAAGGAAUUGACGGGG
RNAcentral lists this ribosomal RNA (415 nucleotides) under uncultured prokaryote. RNAcentral's name for it is "bacterial SSU rRNA". It matches the Rfam family "Bacterial small subunit ribosomal RNA", at positions 505 to 918 of the family's 1533-position model. The record is from RNAcentral.